Branchiostoma belcheri (Belcher's lancelet) is the source of this 1846-nucleotide RNA transcript. It is a transcript of the gene named myeloid-derived growth factor-like, with no coding region annotated. The record is from RefSeq and is a predicted model, not a curated record. NCBI's taxonomy places the organism in Eukaryota, Metazoa, Chordata, Leptocardii, Amphioxiformes, Branchiostomatidae. The transcript has 8 exons.
CUGCGCUCUAAACUCAGAAGUCCAAAAUGGCGUCUGUGGGAAGGAGUUUGUUCGUGUUUCUCUGUCUUGUAUCUUCCAUUGUCUUUGUUACCCCAGAUGAACUUCCGGAUGACUGGCCUCCUAAAGACGAAAAGUUCAAGUACGAGGCCGACGGGCUGUAUUCUGAGGAUUUUGACCUUGAAAUUGGCAAGGGUCUGAAGACGUUCGAGAGGAAUCUGGAUGAUGUUUUCACAUGCAGACUUUCAUACGAGAUUCCAAAAGGAGAAACAGAGGAAUGGCGGGUUACAAUGUCUCAGAGCCCGGAUAAAACAUCAUAUUCCUGCAUCAUUGAGAGGCCUGGCCCCACCAAUUCUGAGCUCAACUUCAAGCAGUUCAAAAUGUCCCUGAUAGGAGUCAAUGAAAUCAACUAUGGAGAGGCAUAUGGUGACCCUUCCGUGUCACUACCAGCAGAGGAGUACAUGGUAGACAAAGGCAAUAUGGAAGUUUCUGCAGUGCAUGGAAAGUUCAAAGGUCAUAUCAGCAGAAUGCUUGGAGUUGGAGGUGUCCACAUUCACCAUGAAGAGCUCUAAAGCAUGUUAUCACUUGACGGAUUCAAAGGUCACUUGAGCCGUUUGCUGGCUGUUGCACGCCCUCACCGUGCACGUGAAGAGCUAUAAUGCCAUCUACUGACCAUAACAGGCACAGCAUUGUCAUCUAGGCGAGGCAAGUUCAAGGGUCGCCUCAGUCGUCUGGUGGCACUAGGCAUACCCCAUGAGCCCCAUACUGAACUGUGAUGAGUCAACAUCAUGCUUUUCAUCCCCAGAUUUUAAAGGAAACUUAAUUCUUUGAUGUGUAGUUGCAGUACAUGUUGAACAAACAACUAGCUGUAAUGGAGGUAGUAUUUGUAGUAGCAUUUUGUGAGAUAUUUACUAGUUUCUGCAAUUGUUUUGGUGCUAUUCAUUUUGUGGGAUCAAUGAAGGAACACUACCUCACAACCAAAGAAACUUGAUCAGCUUCACAAACCUGAAUCUAACUCUGAAUCUGUGUUCUGGUACUGCAGUGAUCCAAGUGAAACAUUAACAAAAGAUACUUAAUUUCCUUAACAUGCUGUCCUAAACCACUCUAUGUAGUGCCUCAUAUACAUGUAUAUAGUGCCUCAUUUUACUUAAACUUGCGUGCUUUUUUGUUGGCGCUGAUGUUGAAAGCCAUAUGAAUAUAGGAGCUGCAUAACAAGUUUGUCAAGUUUUAUGAUGCAGUUUUUUUACUUAGAGACUCUUUUUUUUGUAGGUGUAUUUGAUUUGGUGGUGUAAUGUAGAUGGUGAAGCAGCCAGGAACCUUUUCUACACUAUUUCUAUGUCUAGUUUUGUAGUUCAACAGAAAAACUAAGAUAGAUGUUCUGCUGUAAUGCCAGAUACAAAUCAUGUUCCAAUCAUGUAACUUGUGAAAAAAAUUUACACGGAUGAUUAAGUUUUAGUUUUUUUAUUGUCAAUCAGUUGUUACUAAAGCAUUACAUUUUGCUACAAAAUCAUGUUUCAGUAUCAAAAUGAUUACCGCAGUAGUCAGAUUUACACUACACAUGUAUAGAGUUAGAAAUUCCAUGUCAUGAUCUAUCUUCCCUGGACAGCAUGUUUUUACACAGUUGCUACUUGGCUGUUACUGGUGAGACCUAAAGAAUGCAGGAGAAAUUUAAAGGAUGCAGACUUCGCAUAUUUAGAAAAAAAGCUGUGUGCUAGAUGACCACGAUAAUGAGAAUAACUGAUAGUUUUGAAGAAUGGAUCUGGUAGAAGCAUUGUUUUAACUAGUGUUGUUCACUUCUACAUCCUCUUUUUAUAAGACUUUUUUAAAAAUAAAGUUGUCAUUGUAGAAA